AAACAGGGAACCCUAUCUGGGUUGGUGCUCCCUCUGGCAGGCCUGUUAAUUAAAAAAGUGCAGGGAUGUAAUUCCCCCACAUUUCUGUAGGACUCAAGCCCUGUCUUCAUCUUAAUUAAGUUGUUCUUAGGUCUGGAUAUCCUCAGGUGCCAUCUUUGCAGGGAUACGCUAAGCACCAAUACAACAUUAGUAUAAUGAAGCAGUUUUGCUUUAUAG
Molecule: non-coding RNA, 216 nt
Organism: Pelobates cultripes (western spadefoot toad)
Lineage: Eukaryota; Metazoa; Chordata; Amphibia; Anura; Pelobatidae
Source: the annotation of a GenBank genome assembly